Long non-coding RNA from Carassius auratus (goldfish), 409 nucleotides. RefSeq lists it as uncharacterized. NCBI's taxonomy places the organism in Eukaryota, Metazoa, Chordata, Actinopteri, Cypriniformes, Cyprinidae. The transcript has 4 exons. The record is from RefSeq and is a predicted model, not a curated record.
UCGUGUGGACGCGGAUAUUUUUUGAGACGAGGAAAAAAAAGAUCGGAUUGGGAUCAGUGCAGAAUUCAAUAAUCCUGGAUGGACCGCAGCGAGUCCUUUUGCAGUUGAAUCCAUCAAAAUGCUAUGCAGACAUAAUGGAAAUAACAUUCACAUUGUAGAGCUUGGACAAAGUUCACACAGGCUCAGAGCAGGAAUUCAUCAAAGACAUGACUGUUGGGAUUACGGUUGUGGAUGACCAAUAUGAGCACCAUCAGUCUGCAGUGCCGUGGUUCAGGCUGCAGGACCCUGCAGAGGUUCCGGAGGUCAUGCAUUUGGGUGAGGGUACCCGAGACCCUCUGCUCAUACUCGGCCUGAACCUCCGUGUCCUCCUGCUCCUCCUCACUGCCCCAGGCCUCCUGCCAUGACUCCC